RNA transcript from Cercocebus atys (sooty mangabey), 1734 nucleotides. It is a transcript of the gene named fumarylacetoacetate hydrolase domain-containing protein 2B pseudogene, with no coding region annotated. The record is from RefSeq and is a predicted model, not a curated record. The transcript has a single exon. Lineage: Eukaryota; Metazoa; Chordata; Mammalia; Primates; Cercopithecidae.
UCGGCCUCCCAAAGUGCUGGGAUUACAGGCUUGAGCCACCGCGCCCGGCCUACUGUGUAUUUCUUUUGUGCCAGACUUCUCAGUAUCAUUUUGAUCUGUAAAACAUCAACGUUUCCUGUAUUGUAUUAUAUUUAAAUCUUUGGAGAGUCUAGACACAAAGAAAUUUUUAUUUUAAAGAGUAAUGAAUAAUAAAAAACCACAAAAUCUUUAUUGUAAUAUUUGGGAUUAUGAUUGGCUGCAGGGAAAAAAAGCACAAAGCAGAUGACACAUAGAAGACAUAUAACAUAAAUGUUUGACUUUGAUAUCCCCAGAAGGUAUAUCUCAGACAUUAAAAAAGACAGGAGGCUAAAAAUUGUAACACACAAACAAAAAUCAUUUCUCUAAUUUUUGAAUUAUGUGUCCAAAGAAAAAAAUUAAAACUUCAACCACCCAUUGGUGUGAGAAUUGUUAAGAAAAAAAAUUCUAGCUUUCCACAGAUCCAUUUGGCUCUCCUGUAAAGACUGAAAUCUGAGAAUGUUAACAACAGGUUAUCACUGAGGACAAUUAUUGCACCUGAGAAGGAAAGAAAAAGAUAUGCUUUAUUCCAUUGCAGACACUGAAUGGAGAGCUCUGAGCAUCAUAGGUAAACCAACUCUGUAUCACUUUGAAAUACAUAUUUGAGGCUGCUGCAUGCAGCUCUCCCGAUAGCCGCGGUCAUUGGUGCCAAUGCUCAGGCGCCCGCUGCCCUUGACCUCCGGCCCCCCAAGCCCUAACCCAGCACAGUAGGACCAGCCACUGCCGCCAGGCUCUGAUGCUGGUCUCUGGUAGAAGAAGGUUGCUCACAGCUCUGCUGCAGGCUCAGAAGUGGCCCUUUCAACCCUCCAGAGACAUAAGACUAGUGCAGUUCCAGGCACCCCACCUGGUGGGGCCUCACUUUGGCCUGGAGACGGGGAAUGGUGGAGGGGUUAUCAACCGCAAUGCCUUUGACUCUAUGCUCCCCAAGAUGAUGACACAGUUCCUAGAGCAGGGAGAGGCCACCCUCUCAGUGGCAAGAAGAGCCUUGGGUACCCAGUUGCCAGUCCUAUCACGGUUGGAAGUAACCUUCCUGGCUCCAGCCACGUGGCCAGAUAAGGUGCUUUGUGUGGGCAUGAAUUAUGUGGACCACUGCAAAGAACAGAACAUGCCUGUGCCCAUGGAACCCAUUAUCUUCAGCAAGUUUGCCAACUCCAUCGUGGAGUCCUAUGAUGAGAUGGUCCUCCCACUGGAGAGCCAGGACGUAGACUGGGAAGUGGAGUGGCCGCGGUCACUGGAAAGAAAGGCAAGCACGUCAAGGCCACAGAUGCCAUGGCCCAUGUGGCUGGCUUCACUAUGGCUAAUGACGUGAGUGCUCAUGACUGGCAAAUGAGACAUAAGGGGCAACAGUGGCUGCUGGGAAAAACCUUCGACACCUUCUGCCCUCUGGGCCCGGCCUUGGUAACCAAGGACAGUGUAGCAGAUCCACAUAACUUAAAGAUCUGCUGCCAAGUGAACGGGGAAGUGGUCCAGAGCAGCAACACUAACCAGAUGGUGGUUAAGACAGAGGAGCUGACAGCCUGGGUCUCCCAGUUUGUCACCUUUUACCCAGGGGAUGUCAUCCUGACUGGGACCUCCCCAGGUGUCGUUGUAUUCAGGAAACCUCCUGUCCUUCUCAAGAAGGGGGAUAAAGUCCAGUGUGAGACUGAAGAACUAGGUGUCGUCAUCAGCUAGGUGGUGUGA